This 605-nucleotide ribosomal RNA is filed under the name Scytonema sp. HSN006. Its description in RNAcentral is "bacterial SSU rRNA". It matches the Rfam family "Bacterial small subunit ribosomal RNA", at positions 154 to 792 of the family's 1533-position model. Lineage: Bacteria; Bacillati; Cyanobacteriota; Cyanophyceae; Nostocales; Scytonemataceae. The record is from RNAcentral.
GAACGGCUGCUAAUACCGGAUGUGCCCUUGGGUGAAAGAUUUAUCACCUGAAGAUGAGCUCGCGUCUGAUUAGCUAGUAGGUGUGGUAAGAGCGCACCUAGGCGACGAUCAGUAGCUGGUCUGAGAGGAUGAUCAGCCACACUGGGACUGAGACACGGCCCAGACUCCUACGGGAGGCAGCAGUGGGGAAUUUUCCGCAAUGGGCGAAAGCCUGACGGAGCAAUACCGCGUGAGGGAGGAAGGCUCUUGGGUUGUAAACCUCUUUUCUCAGGGAAGAAUGAUGACGGUACCUGAGGAAUAAGCAUCGGCUAACUCCGUGCCAGCAGCCGCGGUAAUACGGAGGAUGCAAGCGUUAUCCGGAAUGAUUGGGCGUAAAGCGUCCGCAGGUGGCAAUGUAAGUCUGCUGUCAAAGCGUCUGGCUCAACCAGAUAAAGGCAGUGGAAACUACAUAGCUAGAGUAAGGUAGGGGUAGAGGGAAUUCCUGGUGUAGCGGUGAAAUGCGUAGAGAUCAGGAAGAACACCGGUGGCGAAAGCGCUCUGCUGGACCUUAACUGACACUGAGGGACGAAAGCUAGGGGAGCGAAAGGGAUUAGAUACCCCCUGUA